This 301-nucleotide ribosomal RNA is filed under the name uncultured bacterium. RNAcentral's name for it is "partial 16S ribosomal RNA". It matches the Rfam family "Bacterial small subunit ribosomal RNA", at positions 509 to 807 of the family's 1533-position model. The record is from RNAcentral.
CAGUCGCCACGGGAAUACGAAGGGGGCUAGCGUUGUUCGGAAUUACUGGGCGUAAAGCGCACGUAGGCGGAUCGAUCAGUCAGGGGUGAAAUCCCAGGGCUCAACCCUGGAACUGCCUUUGAUACUGUCGAUCUGGAGUAUGGAAGAGGUGAGUGGAAUUCCGAGUGUAGAGGUGAAAUUCGUAGAUAUUCGGAGGAACACCAGUGGCGAAGGCGGCUCACUGGUCCAUUACUGACGCUGAGGUGCGAAAGCGUGGGGAGCAAACAGGAUUAGAUACCCCAGUAGUCCCUGUCUCUUAUAC